CCCGCGAGGUAGAAGGCGCUAAAAUGCAAAUUUAGAGAAGCACCCUAACAGGUGCCGGGGCUUCUCCCGUUUUAUAGAGACGGGAGAAGA
RNAcentral lists this transfer RNA (90 nucleotides) under Cyrtodactylus cryptus. Its description in RNAcentral is "tRNA-Cys". The record is from RNAcentral. Lineage: Eukaryota; Metazoa; Chordata; Lepidosauria; Squamata; Gekkonidae.